GCCCCCGUCGCGCAACCGGCAGACGCACGGUGCUCAAACCACCGACAGUGUGGGUUCGAAUCCCACCGGGGGCA
Molecule: transfer RNA, 74 nt
Filed under: Mycobacteriales bacterium
Lineage: Bacteria; Bacillati; Actinomycetota; Actinomycetes; Mycobacteriales
Also listed under: 3 other names
Description: tRNA-Leu
Rfam family: tRNA
About the family: Transfer RNA (tRNA) molecules are approximately 80 nucleotides in length. Their secondary structure includes four short double-helical elements and three loops (D, anti-codon, and T loops).
Source: RNAcentral